AAACUUACAUUUUGUACUUUUGUAACAUAGUACAGUGGUACCUCGGGUUACAGACGCUUCAGGUUACAGACACUUCAGGUUACAGACUCCGCUACAGAAAUAGUACCUUGGAUUAAGAACUUUGCUUCAGGAUGAGAACAGAAAUCGUGCAGCGGUGGCAUGGCGGCAGUGGGAGGCCCCAUUAGCUAAAGUGGUACCUCAGGUUAAGAACAGUUUCAGGUUAAGAACGGACCUCCAGAACGAAUUAAGUUCUUAACCCGAGGUACCACUGUAGUUAUAAACCUGCCUUCAUUUUGCUACUAUAGGUGAUGUUUCAAGACCUAGAUUAUGUCAACUCUGAGUAAAACUUAGUUGGAUACAACCCAAUGUCCUCUUAGCUGCCUUCAGAAACACCCUACUGUGGAUGCCUCCUAUAUAGCAGAUCAACGACCAGAGAGUCUGUCAGGUCAACGUUUAUGGGCGGAAAUCAGUUGAUGAUGAGCCUUUAAGGCUGGCUGGAGCUGCACCCCACUAUCAAACCUUUCGCAACAUCUGCUGUGCAGAGCACAAGAAUAAUCUCGUUGGGGCAAAGGAGGUCUCUUUGCGACAUCAGGAAGAAGAGAAGACUGGGCAGGCACUUACCUCGAAAUCCAGGUCAGAGUACCGCAGUCUUUUUCUCUGGGGAGGGAUGUAGGCAUAUCACAAAGGAAACGGAUGCAAAAAAAGGGGGGAAAGGAAGGGAGGGAAAGAAGCCUUUACUAAU
Podarcis raffonei (Aeolian wall lizard) is the source of this 742-nucleotide long non-coding RNA. RefSeq lists it as uncharacterized. NCBI's taxonomy places the organism in Eukaryota, Metazoa, Chordata, Lepidosauria, Squamata, Lacertidae. The record is from RefSeq and is a predicted model, not a curated record. The transcript is spliced from 4 exons.